Molecule: long non-coding RNA, 631 nt
Organism: Homo sapiens (human)
Lineage: Eukaryota; Metazoa; Chordata; Mammalia; Primates; Hominidae
Source: Ensembl
CUCCAGACAACCUGGGUGGUGGGGUCAACCUUGGCCUUGGAUUGGGAGCAAGUGCUCUAGAACAAAACUGGUCUCCUACACAGCUGCAGAAGGUAGCCCCCUGAGAAAUUAACUGUUCCGGGUGUCUCCUGACUUUCAGUGCACGGCCACAUCAUGGUACCUAACUUGUGGCAAAUUGUUGCUUUAUAAGUAAGGAUCCAGUCCAAGUUCAUGUACUACAAUUGGUUACUUUGGUCUCUUUGCUUCUGAAACAGUCCCCAACAUUUAUUGUGGCAUUGACUUUUUUGUAGAGUCCAGGGCAUUCUAAUUUUAUAGAAUGCCCUGCUCUUGAUCUAUCAGACGAAAUGCUUCCUCUUGCAUUUAACCUGCUUCUCCACUCUCUGGGUUUCCUGUACACUGGACUGCUGGUAGAAGCCUGAUUAGAAGCAGGUUUAAUGUGGCAAAAAUUUCUCCUAGCAGUGCAAGGCCCCCUUCCCCAGAAGGCAGGCAGUGUCCAUCUGCUCCAGGAUUGGUGUGUUUUUAUCAAGAAUGGAUGUUGGAUUUUGGCAGUUCCCUUUUCGGCAGCUCUUGAGAUGAUCACGUGGUGAAUCAUUUUCUAUUACUACAGUGAAUUACAGUCACUUGAAUUCCA